Molecule: ribosomal RNA, 466 nt
Filed under: Streptococcus gordonii
Lineage: Bacteria; Bacillati; Bacillota; Bacilli; Lactobacillales; Streptococcaceae
Description: bacterial SSU rRNA
Rfam family: Bacterial small subunit ribosomal RNA
Source: RNAcentral
GACGAACGCUGGCGGCGUGCCUAAUACAUGCAAGUAGAACGCACAGUUUAUACCGUAGCUUGCUACACCAUAGACUGUGAGUUGCGAACGGGUGAGUAACGCGUAGGUAACCUGCCUGGUAGCGGGGGAUAACUAUUGGAAACGAUAGCUAAUACCGCAUAAUAUUGAUUAUUGCAUGAUAAUUGAUUGAAAGAUGCUAUUGCAUCACUACCAGAUGGACCUGCGUUGUAUUAGCUAGUAGGUGAGGUAACGGCUCACCUAGGCGACGAUACAUAGCCGACCUGAGAGGGUGAUCGGCCACACUGGGACUGAGACACGGCCCAGACUCCUACGGGAGGCAGCAGUAGGGAAUCUUCGGCAAUGGACGAAAGUCUGACCGAGCAACGCCGCGUGAGUGAAGAAGGUUUUCGGAUCGUAAAGCUCUGUUGUAAGAGAAGAACGGGUGUGAGAGUGGAAAGUUCACACU